RNAcentral lists this ribosomal RNA (623 nucleotides) under uncultured bacterium. Its description in RNAcentral is "bacterial SSU rRNA". It matches the Rfam family "Bacterial small subunit ribosomal RNA", at positions 8 to 676 of the family's 1533-position model. The record is from RNAcentral.
AGAGUUUGAUCCUGGCUCAGGAUGAACGCUGGCGGUCUGCUUAACACAUGCAAGUCGAACGCAACCUUCGGGUUGAGUGGCGGACGGGUGAGUAACGCGUGAGAAUCUGCCUUAGGGUCGGGGACAACCACUGGAAACGGUGGCUAAUACCGGAUAAGCCGAUUGGUGAAAGAUUUAUUGCCCGAAGAGGAGCUCGCGUCUGAUUAGCUAGUUGGUGAGGUAAGAGCUCACCAAGGCAGCGAUCAGUAGCUGGUCUGAGAGGACGAUCAGCCACACUGGGACUGAGACACGGCCCAGACUCCUACGGGAGGCAGCAGUGGGGAAUUUUCCGCAAUGGGCGAAAGCCUGACGGAGCAAGACCGCGUGAGGGAGGAAGGCUCUUGGGUUGUAAACCUCUUUUCUCAGGGAAGAAGCUCUGACGGUACCUGAGGAAUCAGCCUCGGCUAACUCCGUGCCAGCAGCCGCGGUAAUACGGAGGAGGCAAGCGUUAUCCGGAAUUAUUGGGCGUAAAGCGUCCGCAGGUGGCGAUUCAAGUCUGCUGUCAAAGCACGGGGCUUAACUCCGUUAAGGCAGUGGAAACUGAAUAGCUAGAGUGCCGUAGGGGUAGAGGGAAUUCCCGGUGU